Molecule: ribosomal RNA, 271 nt
Filed under: unidentified marine bacterioplankton
Lineage: Bacteria
Description: partial 16S ribosomal RNA
Rfam family: Bacterial small subunit ribosomal RNA
Source: RNAcentral
UUCGGGGAUAUGAUUAAACUGGCGAACGGGUGAGUAACACGUAGGCAACCUGCCCCAGAGAUUGGGAUAACCCACCGAAAGGUGGACUAAAACCGAAUGAUGCAGCAGAUUCUUCGGAAUACUGCUGCUAAAGCGGGCUUCGGCUCGUGCUUUGGGAUGGGCCUGCGUCCGAUUAGCUUGUUGGUGGGGUAAUGGCCUACCAAGGCUUUGAUCGGUAACUGGUCUGAGAGGAUGAUCAGUCACACUGGGAUUGAGAUACGGCCCAGACUCC